UGAAUUUUUUUCCGAGUUAGUUGUGUACUAGAGGAAUGCCGCAACUCAGUUUGUUUCUUUUUAUAGGUUGGGCUAAAAGGAGAAGCUAUGAAUCUCGGUUCCCCAACUUCCACCUCUAUCUGCAGUGAAUUGGAGGAGGGUGUUUAUAGGGACACAAAAUCAACAGCCACUGACUUGGUAUAAGCUGGAGACUACAUCACCGCCUUGAGUUUGCUGGAUUUCAAUACCUUGGUAGACCAGUGAGUCCAGUGAGUUGACUCCCCCUCUCCCUCCUCCUCCAGUCCUCCCUUCCCAACCAAAAAGGUCUGCUACAGGAAUUUCUGAACACAGCAAUACUGGGUGUUAAACUAUCUUUGUUUCUUGGAAAAUAGAACACUGGGUUUCUUAUGCCUAAGGUGUUUGUUGAAAUGCGUAGCUGAAAUUUCCUGUCAGACUUCUUUAACAUCUUAUAUCCCAUUUUGGUAACUGGUAUAAUUUUAAGCCCAAGUUGUUCAUGUUUUGUCUCUUGGAUCUUCUUUAAACAGCAGCCUACAGUUUACUAAUUUCCAGUUUCCAGGUCAUCAGUUGCAUAUUUUUACUUCUACUUAUGGAUGUAGGUUAUGGAGAGCACCUGUGGAUUCCACUUACUCCUAGAAUGGUAGACAUGCUCAGUGAAUAAGCUAAAGUAAACAAAGCAGGCCCUGAGCCUUUGUUCUCUGUUAAUUAUAUGCAGCAUCUCAGCAAGGAAAAUUUCUGUUCUAGGACACUAUAGGAUGCCGGAAAGGGAUCACUAUCACAUUUGCUUUAGUUAUAGGCAUGGUUAAUGUGCAAUGGACACGUUUUAUGGACAAGUCUAUAUUUUUUGGGUUUUAUGUAUUUAUAGGCACCUAGGCAGUGUUAAUUCCUUGUAAAUGUUGGGAUGAAUAUUGC
Molecule: long non-coding RNA, 909 nt
Organism: Rosa rugosa (rugosa rose)
Lineage: Eukaryota; Viridiplantae; Streptophyta; Magnoliopsida; Rosales; Rosaceae
Exons: 3
Source: RefSeq, a predicted model, not a curated record